CCACACAGACCCAGCAAGAUGAUGAAAGGAGGCCCUCUCUCCCCACUCUCCUGGAGGAGAGAGUUGAGGCCCAGUGAGACUGCUCUUGGAUGAAAUUCAAAGGGCCUGCCCAUCAGCCAGAGGACUCUGAAGACUCAGAGGAGGUUAUCCAGAACUCUGGGAUUCUCUUGCUCUCCAUUGCAACUGUGACUUCUAAGCACAAGCUGAACAUCCCCAGUGUGAAAAUCAGAAAUGCUCCAAAAUCCAGAACUCUGCAAGUACCACCAUGAUGCCACACCUGACCUCCUGAGUUCAAAACACAAGGGCACUAAGAAUAUCUUAUGCAUAAGGCACCUAGGAAACAGAAGCAUGGGGUGCCUCUCCAGAGGGCAGGCAGGAAAAACACCUUCCGGUCAAAACAGAGAAGAUUGCCAGAAAUCUGAGGGUGUGCCAGAUACACCCGGACAAAACCAGGCAGGCCUUGGAUACACGCCCCCUCUGUCCUGCAGACAUCGUGUCCUGUGCGUGGGGCAGUGUGGCCAGGCUGGGGCUGUCAGCUCAGAGAGUCCUGCAACAUGACAGCUACAAGGACCCCGCCCAUCUGUUUUCCACAAGGCCAUUUCCCUGUGGCCUGCCAGGCAGGGCUGGCCAGACUUUCUGCUUCUCGGCAGUGAAAACAAUGUGUUUAUAGCCUAGCACAUGAAAAAAACGAAAGAGCCACGUUUUCAGAUCUCACCUCAGGCUCUCUUGUCCUAACCCUCACCUGCGGUAGGAUUUGGAGGGAAUCGUCCACCUCUGUGAAUCUGUUGCCCCAGCAACAGCAAACAAGGACUGACCGUACCCAGGGCACUGUGCAGGCUGGGGAUGAAUUAUCCAAUAGGAUGAGGAAGAACAGCAGCCUUAGAGGACUCGGAAACAAGACUCCAAGCCAAGCUCAUGUACCGCCUUCGGUGAGGUUUCUGCUCACGAGUCACCUUGCACACUCUGGCUCUCCCCAUGUCUUCAGUCAAAUUAGUGUCAUCUCAGGAGGACACCUGUGCCUCCCUGUCUGCCCUCAGGAGGAGGCUGAGAUCUCAGGGUGUCAGGCUAGUGUGACAGGUGGUAUUCCUAUGAGAGUCAUGCAUAGGUGUGGCUAGCCAUUGUGAACUGUCCUCUUUAUGUACAUAUAUAUCCUAUGUUGACCUUGGCCAGGCCACUUCUCUGGGUUGUUAAACCAGAAAACUGGACCAGAUGACCUGAGGUCGCUCCCAGCUCAAAAAUGUCACAAUUUCAUGAUUUGGAAGGGUAAUUAAGCCAGAACUUUAAGACAUUCUGUGUUUUAUUUUGAGAUUCCCAGCUUUGCCAUUGCCAGGACGAAUGGAGAGGGAAAUUUGUGUCCCCGAAAUAAAGGGAACUCGUGUCACA
Molecule: non-coding RNA, 1383 nt
Organism: Cricetulus griseus (Chinese hamster)
Lineage: Eukaryota; Metazoa; Chordata; Mammalia; Rodentia; Cricetidae
Source: RefSeq, a predicted model, not a curated record